GGAGGGUGCGAGCGUUGUCCGGAUUUAUUGGGUUUAAAGGGUGCGUAGGUGGCUUUAUAAGUCAGUGGUGAAAUACGGUUGCUCAACAAUCGAGGUGCCAUUGAUACUGCAAAGCUUGAAAUAAUUGGAGGCUGCCGGAAUGGAUGGUGUAGCGGUGAAAUGCAUAGAUAUCAUCCAGAACACCGAUUGCGAAGGCAGGUGGCUACGAUUUGUUUGACACUGAGGCACGAAAGCAUGGGGAGCAAACAGGAUUAGAUACCCUGGUAGUCCAUGCUGUAAACGAUGAGGACUCGCUGUUUGAUGGCAACAUUGAGCGGCUUAGGGAAACCGUUAAGUCCUCCACCUGGGGAGUACGCCGGCAACGGUG
This 367-nucleotide ribosomal RNA is filed under the name uncultured bacterium. Its description in RNAcentral is "bacterial SSU rRNA". It matches the Rfam family "Bacterial small subunit ribosomal RNA", at positions 527 to 896 of the family's 1533-position model. The record is from RNAcentral.